GCAUUUGUAUGGGGGGCACCCUGUCAGCGACGCCGCGUGGAGGAUUGAAGGUCUUCGGAUUGUAAACUCCUUUUGGAGGGGACGAAAACCCCACCCUUCCUGCCUGUAUAAUAACAGGCAGAAAGGGUGGGAUUGACUGUACCCUCAGAAAAAGUCACGGCUAACUACGUGCCAGCAGCCGCGGUAAUACGUAGGUGGCUAGCGUUACUCGGAAUUACUAGGCGUAAAGCGCAUGUAGGCGGUCAUAUAAGUCAAUUGUGAAAGCCCCAGGCUUAACUUGGGGAGCGCGGUUGAAACUCUAUGACUUGAGUGUGAGAGAGGAAACUGGAAUUCCCGGUGUAGCGGUGAAAUGCGUAGAUAUCGGGAGGAAUACCAAUGGCGAAGGCAGGUUUCUGGAUCAAUACUGACGCUGAGAUGCGAAAGCUAGGGGAGCAAACAGGAUUAGAUACCCUGGUAGUCCUAGCUGUAAACGAUGUUCACUGGGUGUGGGUGGUAUCGACCCCUUCCGCGCCGAAGCUAACGCAUUAAGUGAACCGCCUGGGGAGUACGGCCGCAAGGUUGAAACUCAAAGGAAUUGACGGGGGCCCGCACAAGCGGUGGAGCAUGUGGUUCAAUUCGACGCAACGCGAAGAACCUUACCUGGGCUUGAACAGCAGGUGGUAAAAACCCGAAAGGGCAAUGACCCGCAAGGGAGCCUGUAGAGGUGCUGCAUGGUUGUCGUCAGCUCGUGUCGUGAGAUGUUGGGUUAAGUCCCGCAACGAGCGCAACCCUCAUCCUAUGUUGCCACUCCCGCAAGGGAAGCACUCUUAGGAAACUGCCCCGGAUAACGGGGAGGAAGGUGGGGACGACGUCAAAUCAUCAUGGCCCUUAUGUCCAGGGCUACCCCACGUGCUACAAUGGCCCGG
RNAcentral lists this ribosomal RNA (905 nucleotides) under uncultured bacterium. RNAcentral's name for it is "bacterial SSU rRNA". It matches the Rfam family "Bacterial small subunit ribosomal RNA", at positions 359 to 1238 of the family's 1533-position model. The record is from RNAcentral.